This 254-nucleotide ribosomal RNA is filed under the name uncultured bacterium. RNAcentral describes it as "partial small subunit ribosomal RNA". It matches the Rfam family "Bacterial small subunit ribosomal RNA", at positions 26 to 285 of the family's 1533-position model. The record is from RNAcentral.
AGGACGAACGCUGGCGGCGUGCUUAACACAUGCAAGUCGAGCGGAAAGGCCCUUCGGGGUACUCGAGCGGCGAACGGGUGAGUAACACGUGAGUAAUCUGCCCCUAGCUCUGGGAUAGCUCCGGGAAACCGGGAUUAAUACUGGAUACGACCACUUUAGACAUCUGUUGUGGUGGAAAGAAUUUUGGCUAGGGAUGAGCUCGCGGCCUAUCAGCUUGUUGGUGGGGUAACGGCCUACCAAGGCGACGACGGGUA